UACGAAGGGGGCUAGCGUUGUUCGGAAUCACUGGGCGUAAAGGGCGCGUAGGCGGACGAUUAAGUCAGGGGUGAAAUCCCGGGGCUCAACCUCGGAAUUGCCCUUGAUACUGGUUGUCUUGAGAUUGGAAGAGGUAAGUGGAAUUGCGAGUGUAGAGGUGAAAUUCGUAGAUAUUCGCAAGAACACCGGUGGCGAAGGCGACUUACUGGUCCAUAUCUGACGCUGAGGCGCGAAAGCGUGGGGAGCAAACAGG
RNAcentral lists this ribosomal RNA (253 nucleotides) under uncultured bacterium. RNAcentral describes it as "partial 16S ribosomal RNA". It matches the Rfam family "Bacterial small subunit ribosomal RNA", at positions 524 to 776 of the family's 1533-position model. The record is from RNAcentral.